This 486-nucleotide ribosomal RNA is filed under the name Cyclophora tenuis. Its description in RNAcentral is "partial Bacterial small subunit ribosomal RNA". It matches the Rfam family "Bacterial small subunit ribosomal RNA", at positions 11 to 514 of the family's 1533-position model. Lineage: Eukaryota; Bacillariophyta; Fragilariophyceae; Cyclophorales; Cyclophoraceae. The record is from RNAcentral.
GUUUGAUCCUGGCUCAGGACGAACGCUGGCGGCGCGCCUAAUGCAUGCAAGUCGAACGAGGUCGACCCUUCGGGGUCAUAUACCUAGUGGCAGACGGCUGAGUAACGCGUGAGUGACCUGCCCUGGAGAGGGGGAUAACAUCGGGAAACCGAUGCUAAUACCGCGUACGCUCAUCAGUGUCAAGGCUGAUGAGGAAACGAAUUUCGCUCUAGGAUGGGCUCGCGUCCUAUCAGGUAGUUGGUGGGGUAAUGGCCUACCAAGCCGAAGACGGGUACCUGGUGUGAGAGCACGACCAGGCAGAGGGGGACUGAGACACGGCCCCCACUCCUACGGGAGGCAGCAGCAGGGAAUCUUCCACAAUGGGCGAAAGCCUGAUGGAGCGACGCCGCGUGGGGGAUGAAGGCCUUCGGGUCGUAAACCCCUUUUCUCAGGGAAGAGUAAGGACGGUACCUGAGGAAUAAGCAUCGGCUAACUACGUGCCAGCAG